This 693-nucleotide ribosomal RNA is filed under the name Triticum aestivum (bread wheat). Its description in RNAcentral is "partial small subunit ribosomal RNA". The record is from RNAcentral. Lineage: Eukaryota; Viridiplantae; Streptophyta; Magnoliopsida; Poales; Poaceae.
AUGGACUUAACAAAGGACUUCUCAGCGGCAGAAAUUAGUGACGCCUUAUUCCAAAUAGGACCUCUUAAGGCCCCAGGGCCGGACGGAUUUCCAGCAAGGUUUUAUCAAAGAAAUUGGGAAAUCCUUAAAAGCGAUGUCAUUGAGGGCGUGCUGAGUUUCUUUGAGAGUGGUCAGUUUCCAGAAGGAAUCAAUGACACGGUAAUUGUGCUCAUCCCUAAAGGGGAAGACCCGCAAUCAAUCAAAGAUUACCGACCCAUCAGCCUCUACAACAUAUUGUAUAAGGUGAUCUCCAAGUGUCUAGUGAAUCGGCUUCGACCCCUACUGGACGGUAUCAUUUCAGAGACGUAGAGUGCAUUCAUCCCAGGAAGACCGAUCAUUGACAACGCCACCAUUGCUUUUGAAUGCUUUCAUAAGAUUCAGCAUAGCAAGAACAUCCACAACACACAUUGCGCAUAUAAGCUAGAUCUGGCAAAAGCUUAUGAGAGGGUGGAUUGGCUAUUCCUUGAGGAGGUCCUUUUAAAAACCGGAUUUGAUAAGAAGUGGACAAAUUGGGUGAUGCAGUGUGUGUGUUCAGUCAGAUACUCGGUCAGAUGUAAUGGAGAACUCUUGGAACUGUUUUCACCUUCCAGAGGACUCCGACAGGGUGAUCCCCUCAGCCCGUAUUUAUUCCUUUUGUGGCAGAUGGGUUGGUAA